Molecule: ribosomal RNA, 463 nt
Filed under: uncultured soil bacterium
Lineage: Bacteria
Description: bacterial SSU rRNA
Rfam family: Bacterial small subunit ribosomal RNA
Source: RNAcentral
AGGACGAACGCUGGCGGCGUGCUUAACACAUGCAAGUCGAACGAGAUCCAAGGAGUGGCAACACUCUGGAAGAUCUAGUGGCGAACGGGUGCGUAACACGUGAGGAACCUACCCCGGUCUCUGGAAUAACAGGUGGAAACACCUGCUAAUACCAGAUGCCGUCAAAUCAUCGCAUGGUGAACUGACGAAAGAAUUUCGGAUCGGGACGGUCUCGCGGCCUAUCAGCUUGUUGGUGGGUAAUGGCCUACCAAGGCGUCGACGGGUAGCUGGUCUGAGAGGAUGAUCAGCCACACUGGGACUGAGACACGGCCCAGACUCCGUACGGGAGGCAGCAGGUGGGGAAUCGUUGCGCAAUGGGCGAAAGCCUGACGCCGCAACGCCGCGUGCGGAAGAGGCCUUCGGUUGUAAACCGCUUUCGAGCGAAGGAACGAAAUGACGUACCUGACAGAAGAAGGUGCGGACC